This is a small nuclear RNA of Monodelphis domestica (gray short-tailed opossum), 103 nucleotides long. NCBI's taxonomy places the organism in Eukaryota, Metazoa, Chordata, Mammalia, Didelphimorphia, Didelphidae. The record is from Ensembl.
UUAAUUUAAGAGCAAAUAUACUAAAACUGGAAGGAUACAGCAAAGAUUAGUAUAGCUUCUGUGCAAGGAUGGCAUGCAAGUUUAUGAAGUCCUCCAUAUUUUU